AUUUCCCCAAUGGGUUCUCCGGAUUUCUGGAGACUUGUAGGGGUUGUGGGAUUUUUGAUGUGUCGUCUCCGGACGGGCGGUGCAGGGUAGUCGAGUUAGACUUGGUGGAAUUCCGUCGAUAGGAGUUCCGUCGAGUCUGGUCGGCUAUGUGUUGGACGGUGCAGGGUAGGCUGCUUGGACAUGGUCGGUUCGAGGAUCGAUUCGAGGGCCGGCCUGUCGAUGAUGUGUGAUGUAUGCGGUCUAGGGUAGGCUGGUUUGUCUUGGUUCAAUUUGAUGUCGGCUCCCGUGCAGGCCAGAGUGAGUGGGGUCCAGGGUAGGUACAGGGUAGGCAGCUUAGAUUUGGUCGAUCUGGAGGUCGAUUCUCCGGCUGGCGGAUCUGACACUGUUGAAACGAGAUGCGAGCGGUGUAGGGUAGGCUAGUUUCGUCCUCGCCAGGUUGCGAUUUGGACGAGAUAUGUGGUUUAGGGUAGGCUCUAGGGUAAGUAGAAUUCGAGUUUCGUCGCCGACAGUUUUCUGUGAGUGUAUGGUAGGUACAGGGUAGGCAAAUCUCUCUCCGGCCAGUACUUGUCUGGUGGUCGUGAGUCGAUUUUUUUGUUUU
RNAcentral lists this unclassified non-coding RNA (598 nucleotides) under Fusarium oxysporum. Its description in RNAcentral is "partial miscellaneous RNA". The record is from RNAcentral. Lineage: Eukaryota; Fungi; Ascomycota; Sordariomycetes; Hypocreales; Nectriaceae.